CAAAGGCGCCCGGGCGUGGGGCUGGCCACCCACCCCCUUGUGUGCCAUUCCGGCCUUCAUAGGUGCUCGCUCACAGCACUUGCCCCAACAAACUUUUGAAGCUAUACGGGGGAUCUUUGUCUUGGUGAUACCCACAACUAGAGAGCAAGCAAGAGGUAACGCAGGGAGCGGAGCUAUGGUGAGCGUUGGGGUCUGGGUUGUGCUUAAUGGUGGGGGCUGAUUGGUUAGUUUGUUUGUAUUAAGGUUAGGGUCAUGUGGUCAGGAUAUUGUCUAAUUGGCGAGUGUGGGUAUGGAUGGCGGUGGGGCUGGUGUCUGAUUGGAUGGUGUGGGUAGGGUUGGCGGUGGGGCUGUUGUCUGAUUGGCGAGUGUGGGUUGAGUUGGCGGUGGGGCUGGUGUCUGAUUGGAUAGUGUGGGUAGGGUUGGCGGUGAGGCUGGUGUCUGAUUGGAUAGUGUGGGUAGGGUUGGCGGUGGGGUUGGUGUCUGAUUGGGUAGUGUGAGUCGGGUUGGCGGUGGGACUGUUGUCUGAUUGGAUAGUGUGGGUAGGGUUGGAGAUGAGGCUGGUGUCUGAUUGGCGAGUGUGGGUAGGGUUGGAGGUGAGGUUGGUGUCUGAUUGGCUAGUGUCGAUAGGGUUGGAGGUGGGGCUGGUGUCUGAUUGGCUAGUGUGGGAAGGGUUGGAGGUGGGGCUGGUGUCUGAUUGGCGAGUGUGGGUAGGGUUGAAAGUAGGGCUGGUGUCUGAUUGGCUCGUGUAGGUAGGGUUGGAGGUGAGGCUGGUGUCUGAUUGGCUAGUGUCGAUAGGGUUGGAGGUGGGGCUGAUGUGUGAUUGGCUCGUGUGGGUCGGGUUGGAGGUGGGGCUGGUGUCUGAUUGGCUAGUGUGGGAAGGGUUGGAGGUGAGGUUGGUGUCUGAUUGGCUAGUGUUGGUAGGGUUGGAGGUGGGGCUGGUGUCUGAUUGGCGAGUGUGGGUAGGGUUGGAAGUAGGGCUGGUGUCUGAUUGGCUCGUAUAGGUAGGGUUGGAGGCGAGGCUGGUGUCUGAUUAGCUAGUGUGGGAAGGGUUGGAGGUGGUGCUGGUGUGUGAUUGGCUAGUGUAGGUAGGGUUGGAGGUGGGGCUGGUGUCUGAUUGGCUAGUGUGGGUAGGGUUGGAGGUGGGGCUGGUAUCUGAUUGGCUAGUGUGGGAAGGGCUGGAGGUGGUGCUGGUGUGUGAUUGGCUAGUGUGGGUAGGGUUGGAGGUGGUGCUGGUGUCUGAUUGGCUCGUGUGGGUAGGGUUGGCAGUGAAGCUGGUGUCCGAUUGGUUAGUGCGCUUUUUGCACCUCUCUAUCACUAAUUCUUUUACAACUGAAAAUCAAACCGACUUUAAAAAACCAGAGAGCUUUACGGUUCACUCUGUAGGUUAGACAUUUGGUGAGGUCUUGCCAAAUCUGUACCAGGAGAGAGUGUUCGUGAUGGUUUUUGAUGGCCUUUGACCCGUGGUGUAGUGUUGGUGGAGGGGGUUGCGUGGGGCCCUUUUGCACGGAUGGAAUCCCGGCCCCCCCACGUCCCAUGCCCCCAGCGUCUCCAGAGGGGCCGCCCUGGAGACAAACGCCAACGUCGCCUAAAGCGAGGGCACUCCCCACCACCCACCGCCAACCCUUCCCCCUUCCCCCCCCGCUUCUUAGCCUCGGCUUCCCCUCUGGCCCGUGGGCCUCAGCGCAGUUUCACCGCCUGCACACCCACUCGCGAGCUACGCCGGUGCCGCACGGCGGGCAUCACGUUCCGCCUCUCGCUCCGCGCUGCGCCAGCCACUGCCGACCUCCUCGCCACCACCGCGAGUACCAAGGGUUUAUUCGAGCGCGUGGCAUUCGCUCCAUCGUUCGUACGUACGUUGUUCAACUUCUUUCGCACCGUACGUAGCCAACCGUGCUAAACGGAAGCGUGGGGGAAGGACAACAACGUCCAGCGCAGUGUUCUUCAUUGCAAGGCUCCUUGGCCACUGGCGGCCCCCGAGGUGCGGGCCCCAACAAUACACAACAAGUGAAAACACCCCCCCCCUCCCCCAUCAUCAUCAUGCUGCGGCUGUCAAACCCCCAGUGGUUUCAAAUGCGUGGCGGCCCCCGCGCCGAUGCGACUGAGUGAACGACACUGGGGUGGCGAGCGGCAGGGCGAGCGUUGCGAGCGAAGGAACGCGUUGCUGUGCGUUCACCACAGCUGUCAACCCAGAAGGAACGCGUUGCUGUGUGUUCACCACAGCUGUUAACCCAGAAGGAACGCGUUGCUGUGUGUUCACCACAGCUGUUAACCCAGAAGGAACGCGUUGCUGUGUGUUCACCACAGCUGUCAACCCAGAAGGAACGCGUUGCUGUGUGUUCACCACAGCUGUUAACCCAGAAGGAACGCGUUGCUUGUGUUCACCACAGCUGUUAACCCAGAAGGAACGCGUUGCUGUGUGUUCACCACAGCUGUUAACCCAGAAGGAACGCGUUGCUGUGUGUUCACCACAGCUGUCAACCCAGAAGGAACGCGUUGCUGUGUGUUCACCACAGCUGUCAACCCAGAAGGAACGCGUUGCUGUGUGUUCACCACAGCUGUUAACCCAGAAGGAACGCGUUGCUGUGUGUUCACCACAGCUGUUAAUCCAGACGGAACGCGUUGCUGUGUGUUCACCACAGCUGUUAACCCAGAAGGAACGCGUUGCUGUGUGUUCACCACAGCUGUUAACCCAGAAGGAACGCGUUGCUGUGUGUUCACCACAGCUGUCAAUCCAGAAGGAACGCGUUGCUGUGUGUUCACCACAGCUGUUAACCCAGAAGGAACGCGUUGCUGUGUGUUCACCACAGCUGU
Molecule: non-coding RNA, 2811 nt
Organism: Petromyzon marinus (sea lamprey)
Lineage: Eukaryota; Metazoa; Chordata; Hyperoartia; Petromyzontiformes; Petromyzontidae
Source: RefSeq, a predicted model, not a curated record